This is a long non-coding RNA of Gordionus sp. m RMFG-2023, 475 nucleotides long. RefSeq lists it as uncharacterized. The transcript has 3 exons. Lineage: Eukaryota; Metazoa; Nematomorpha; Gordioida; Chordodea; Parachordodidae. The record is from RefSeq and is a predicted model, not a curated record.
GGAUCACAAAAAGAAAAUUUUGAACACCUUAUUUCAACAUCUUUUAGAGAAGGAUAAAUUAAAUUAUAUUAUAACCAAAGAAAAAAUUAGCCAAAAAAUUGCUGAUAUAGACAAAAAAGAUGCAAGAAAAAUUACGAAUUCUAUUAUAACAUUUGAUCUUAUAAUUACUCUUGCUAAAUUGUGGAGAGGGUUGAUCUUGACUACAACUUUUUUAUCAUCAGUUGAGAUAAAAUUUUUGGGACCAAGCCAAAAAAGCCAUACAAAUAUAUUAAGUCCUUUACAAAAAGCCUAUGAACAGUUAAUUAAAGACGUUAGCAGCCUUAAGAUGGAUGCAUAUGUUACCUAUUUAAAUAUGUUUUUUAAAAUGCAUAAAACUUAUUCUUAUAAUAUUGUUCCAUCAAAUAAUUUAAACAUUAAUGUAAAAAAUAAUGAAAAUAGCCCAAUAAUUAUGACCACAACUAAUUUAUAUAGUAGA